Molecule: non-coding RNA, 9429 nt
Organism: Sus scrofa (pig)
Lineage: Eukaryota; Metazoa; Chordata; Mammalia; Artiodactyla; Suidae
Source: RefSeq, a predicted model, not a curated record
CUGUGAGUGUGGCCCUAAAAAGCAAAAAACAAAUAAAAAGCCAAAGUGUUUAGCACAAUUAUCUUUGGAAGAUAGAGUUUGCAUAGUUUCUCUUCUCCACCAUUGAUCCAGUAUGAAAUGACAUGUUUGGGUAGCACAUGCCUUCAUGUGAUGAAGUAAUGUUUUGGAUUCCAAAGAGUCUCUAGUGAAAAAGAAAAAAGUCAUAAAUCACAAAAAGCAAAGCUGGGUUUGAUGAUUGGCUGGUAUUUGAGUAUCAAAAGGACAAUUACAAAUAUUUUCAGUGUAAGUUUAUGUUAAUAUUAAUAGUAAACAAAUUUGCACAUAAUUUAUGUUUUAAGGCAGGAUAGAAAUUAUUCAGUUAAUAUAUUUGCUUUUCCAAUAUUAAAAAAAAAUCUUAAGAUAGAGAUAAAAAUUCCUUACCUAGAAGAAAAUCUAAUAUCAUUCAUGUAAUGUCUUAUUGGAAUAUGCUGCAUCAUUGUGGAAAUUUUUAGGUCACUACUACUGCUGGUAUUAGAUAGAACUUUUUAAAUAAUUUAUACCAAUCACUUGCUUUUCUAGCUUAGACAUUUUACCUUAACUAGUUUGACUGACACCUAUAAAAUUUCUUUUAGUCACAAUAACACUUGCAUUUCUUUCCCCAUACUUUUCAUAUUAUUGUUUACUAACCUGUGAACUUCUUUAGCAACUGACUAAAAGUACCAUUUUUGGUCACUUGUGCAUUUGGAUUUUCUGUACCACAUUUAGUUUGGUUCACUGAAGUGAGAGUUAACUGCAGUGACUUGACUGACUAAAAUGAUUGAAACAAUUAUAUAUAAACAAAGAAAUGAGUUGUCAUUACUUACAGACAACAAAUUGCUGAAGACUGAAUUUCUUAUAAUAUUCAGUCAACAAAUAUUGAGUACCUGCUGGAAGACAAGUUGUUUUUUAGGCAUUGAUAUUUCAGUCAAUUGACUUAGACUUUCUGGGGAGCAUCUUGCUAUUUUGAAACAAGUGCUCUGCCUUCACUCUUCCAUUUUAAUGAAAAUCUAAUUGACUGAGUUUUACCUUGUACCUAUUUCUGAGUCAGAAAUUGUAAGGUGAUCACAUUUCAGUAUGCAUUUUGUUCCACAGACCUAACCUGUUUUUCCUAUACUUCCAUCCUGUUAUAAAAAUGACAUUUACCUAUUUAUUCACAUUUAUGAAAACUUGUUGAAAUAAGUUCUUGGUAAGUAGGAUUAUGUUUUAAAUGCCCAUUUUAUACAUUCUUUAGUGGGUACCUACCAUAAGCCAGGACAGUUCUAGUGUGCAAGAGGGAGAAGUGGUGAAAUGGGAUUGAGUAUAAGUGCCUUCUUAUAACAUGGGAAAGAACUUAACUUCUAUGCUACGGUAUAGAUAUCUAUCAGCUGGCCAAAGUGGGAAAGGGAAGUGAUUAGAUAUGCACUUUAAGAGGCUCAUUCUGAAAGCUGCAGAGGAUGCUUUAGAUGAAAGUAAGACCAAAUGGGAGAUCAUAGCAGUAAUUCUGACAAAAGAUAAGAUAGGCCUGAAAAAGGGCAAUGAUAAUUGCAAUGGAAAGCAACACACAUAUCCGAAAGAAAGGAGGGAGACAGAAUCUACAGAACUUUGCGUCUCACUGGCUAUGAAAAAUGAGAAAGAGGAGUCAAGAAUGAGUGCCAGCUGUAAUGCUUAAUUGAGUGGUCAAUGGGAAAGAGGCCGUACAUUCUGGUUAGAUUAAGACUAUUCCAAGUUGUAUUUGGAGUGCCAGAGUAAUUAUUAAUGAAGCCCCUUCUCUCAAAAUUGUCCUGGUUUAGAUGAUAAAUUAUGUGGCCAUCCUAAUGAAGAAUGAUCCUGUUUUCUAUGCAAUCUGAAAGAUAAGGAGAUGAGUGAAUUAGGGUAAAGGAAGAGCAUUUAAAAUAAGGCUCUCCAUAGGGAAAUAGCCAGUAAGCAAAUGAACUUAUAGCUGUGGAACUCAGGAGAAAAAUGCUUGAGUUGAGAUAUAGAUUUGAGCAUGAUUAGAUGGAAAUGAAAUUGCAAAGACAGAAUGUGAAGAAUGAGAAAGGGAAGAAGCUCAAGAUAGAAACUUCAGAAACACUAAUGUUGAGGAGAAAGGAGAUGGGGAAAUAGCUAUCCAAACACACAGCAACUAAGAGGAAAGUCCAGGAAACGAAAUCAUAAGGACAAGAAAAGAGAAUUUCAGGAAGGAGAAAAUAGGCAACAGUGCCAAAUUCAAGUAAAACAAGAAAAAAGAAAUACCACUGGUUUGAACAAUUUGAAACAGUGAUGACCUAGGCAAAGACAAAUUCCCUGGAAUGAUCGGUGUAGUAAUCAAAUCACAGGAGGUGAAAAGAGGCAAGCAAUAAUGUGUGAAAGGCAGUGCAGUAUCAUCAGGAAAACACAGGCUUUGAAGUGAGACAGAGUGUUGCUCAUCCCCACAAGCCCUUACUAGUUGUGUGACUUUGGGCAGGUUGCUUAACUUUACCCUCGCUCACUCUUCACUCAUUUAUUCAGUACUUACUUAUUAAACAUUUAUAGAGCACAUAUCAAAUCCUAGGAAUCAGCUAACCAUGAACAAUUUAUGUCUCCAACAUGAAGGCACACAUCUUUUUACAAUAUAAUAUAGAUAGUGCUAUUACAGAUGUGUAAAUAGCACAUUUUGCUUUCUAAUUGCAAGCUCCAUUAAUAAUGAUAAAAACAUCUAGCACUUGGUUAAGUUCUUCCUAUAUGCCAGGCAUUGUACGAAAGGCUCUCUAUGAAUUAUUUCCCUUUAUUCAUUUAGAAUGUCAUAUAAAACAAUAUGAGAGGAAUACUAUUUUAGUUCCAGUUUGCACAUGAGGAAGCUAAGGCUCAGAGAGGUUUAGGACUUGUCAAAUGUCACCCUAAUAAUUGGAAAAAUCAUAAGCAGAGUCCAGGGAGACUGACUUCAAAGUAAGCAUUUUAAAUUACUAUACUGCCUUCCAUCAUCAAUUGCCAGACCGUUUUCAUGUUAUUCAUCACUGUAUCCCCUGGACAUACUUAGUUUCCUGACAUAUUGUUCUUGAAAACUAUUAAUAAAUAUUUGUGAAAGGAAGGAGGGAAGGGCAGGGAAGAGGAAGGAAGGGAAGAAGAGAAGAAGGGAGGUUGGAAGGAUAAAAAAGAAAUAGGGAAAGGAAGAGAGAAAGAGAAAAAGACAAAAAGAAAAGAGUUCUAUGAGAAACAAGGGAAUGGAAGAAGCAGCUCUGACUAGGAUUCACAGAAUUUUUAUCAAGGAGAUGAUAUACGGGCUGUAUUAAAGAAAUGUAGUCAUUUGCUAAGCUAAGAAAGAGAACAGAAGAUACUCCUUCAGCUUGGGCAAACAACACCUUUUCAUUCUCAUCCACCUCUAGGGAUAGGCCUCAUAUUCUCUAAGACUCUAAAGUACCUAAUCUUUUAUUUCAUGACCCGGAGACUCAAUAUUAUUGAUCACUGCUACCUAUCUUAUACCUUGGCCUAAAUAAACACUAACUUUACUGACAAGUCUGAACUUCUGACCCUCAGUCAUAUAAAUAUAAUGGCUUGCUAAUCAUAAAAAAUAUCAAUUCUGUAGUUCCCAUCGUGGCACAAUGGUUGACGAAUCUGACUAGGAACCAUGAGGUUGCAGGUUUGAUCCCUGGCCUUGCUCAGUGGGUUAAGGAUCCCGAGUUGCCAUGAGCUGUGGUAUAGGUUGCAGAUGCGGCUCGGAUCCUGCGUUGCUGUGGAUCUGGCGUAGGCUGGCAGCUGCAGCUCCAAUUAGACCCCUAGCUGGGAACCUCCAUAUGCCAUGGGAGAGGCCCUAGAAAAGGCAAAAAGACAAAAAAAAAAAAAAAAAUCAAAUUCUAAUGACUGUUUUCUCAGGAAAUCUUGUGGGGCUUCUUAUCCAAACACUCAAGUUUUGAUAGAAAGAAAGACAUCGAUUCUGGACCAAAUUCCCCCAGGAAUAUUAAGCAUCAAUAAGUAAUAGACCUCUUUCUACAUGAUAUCUCCUCAUUCUCUCAUUUUAAACAUUCUUCCAAUUGCCCAAAUUAUGAGGCAAGAACAAAACUCCCAAUUAAUUUUAAAAUGUGCCUGACCUUCUCUACAAUUGCCACUGUUACCUUUCAAACCUUGAUAGUCAUUGUUUCUCAUCUGCUUAAGGGUGAAUUAUACCAUGAGUCAUGAAAACAAAGCAACACAAAACCAAAAAAAAGGUCUUUGAUGUUCAGAAGAGUAUCCUCAAACUCACCAAUAUUACUUAGGUAAAAUAUCUGAAGUACAUUUUAUCUGUUUAUUUGUUUGAAUUGUUUGGAAAUAGCAUCCUUCUUAUUCAUUUUUCGUUUACUUUGUAUAGACACAAUCUAAACCAACCCACUAGUCCUUUCUAAAAUAUGACCUUCUUAUGUUCCUGAAUAUAUUCUGUUUUCUGUGACUGUUACCUGGCUUGUUUUAAGCAUGUCUUUUAAGUACUGGGCAGUAAUUUGUUUUCUUGGGAAGCCUAGGAGAUACAGUCUUGCAGGGCAUAUGCAUACCAUGUGGUUCUUUUUUGACAACCCAAAUGUGGACCCCAGGUAAAAGUUCUGCUGAAUGUCAAGCCAGCGACUGGUCACAUCUCCAAGGAAGAUAAUAGAAAAUUGCCUGGGCCUGAUUUCUGAACGAUUCUUCAUUAAACAACACAAAAUCCAUGCAGAUUGGACAGAGAGAAGGCUAACAUGGAUUAGAAGAAAUUUUUGCUAGCUUUUACUACAGAUUGUAUUUUGUCCUCCCAAACUCUGAGCAAAGGUAAUGUCUCCGUUUCCCUACUCUUUAUUUUGGAAUUACAAAGGCAAUUAGUUCUCUAAUGAGUUAGAGCAAGCGAGGUGAAAGAGUAGGGGAAAACACUGAACACCAGAUGAUGUCUGCUAAUGCCAAGAAAUAAAUAAGUGACUCGUUCUUGGUAAAAAAAAAUCUUUCAGGUGGAUGUUUCUUUUUAUCUUUUAAAACUAAAGUGUGUAAAAUGUAUGGUUUAGUAUGUAUGGAGAAAAUCUAUUUCAAUAUAUUAUGUGGUAAAGAUUAGUGGUCAUGAGCACAUGAGUCUCUAUGUUACUGACUGAGUCUAUCAGUAAAUUUUACCUCUGGAAUUUGUGGAUCAUUGCUGAGAUACCUAAAAACUGAGAAAGAAGGGGAAAAAAUAGCUCCUACCUUUAUAAAAAUAGUUCAUUAAAAUAGAGAAUAACCUGUGCAAAAUUCAAAGUGGGCAGGUAUUGAAAUGCUGAGAUAUAAAAGCGAUGACUGGAAAGUUAAUUAUUGUUGUGAGGAAAUAAAAUUGCACAAAUUCAAGAUGUGCAAAAAGAUCCUCUCUAUGUGUGGUGCAUUUGGAAAAGCAAGGUCUUUUGAGUAAAUGGAACAGUGAGUACUAGGCCUAGUUUAUAGCAGGUGCUCGGUUAGUUGAAUCUCAAGCCCAGUUACUCAAGUUGUUUAAAAUGGCUGGGAUAGAAGCCACUUUACCCAGCCUACACAAUGUAGCAUCAUAAAAAUAACCCAGGCCAGGAUUUGAGUCUCACUCUGACACAAGCUGGAUACCCUAGGCAAGUCAUUUUACCUCUUGUGGAGCCUCCAUUUGUGAAAUGGAGAUAUAACAUCUAAUUUACAGAUUUAAUAGGAAAAUUAAAUGAGAUUUCAAAUGGUAGAAUGCUUCUCAGUAAAUGCUAGAUAUUGUUGUUAGUAUUCUUAACUAGGGUAAGUAUUUCCAUUUCCAUUUUCCUAACUUUUAAUAUUAAGGAGAUGAAUCAUUGCUCUUUAGAGUAUUGUAAACAGGAAAUGGCCUACAUUUAUCCAACAGGUGAUCUUAUGUGAUUAUCCAUGGACUGAAAUGUCCAAUAAUUUUAUAAUUGCUAUGUCCAUCUUAUUCAAUUACCAUUUGUAAUAUAUUCUGAAGGUGAUUGAGAGCAUUUUGGCUGCCUCUCCCUCCUUAGGAUCAAAUCAGCCUGUUGAUAAUCUUAGUAUAAUGCCUGUUUUGCAGGUUUGCUGUCACUAGUAUAAGCUGUGAGACACCAUUAGGGCCAUCUCAGUGCAGUUAACUGAAUCAAUGAAAGCUUGCCUCACUUUUAGAAGUGGGUUGUUUAUAUUAAUGUGUACUUAUUUGCAUUGAAGAUUCCACCAUGACGGCCUCCAUCCUUGAACAAGUUGCAAUAGCUCUCUCAGUGUACAAGAGAAUUUUCCCCAGGUGAAAUAUACAUUGAAGGGCUUAGAAUACAGUUACACAAAGUCACCAAGAGUAUAAGAUUCAGUUUAAAAAAAAUUAAGUACACAAACUAUAUUUUAUUCUAGAAAAGAUGUGUAGAUAUAAUAAAGAGGUCGUAGUUCUAAGAGUACUGCUUUCAUAUCAGUGACAAAUAUUAUCUGCACAUCUAAUAGACAGAUUAUAUGCUUUAUGUUAGCUUGGUAACAUAAAAUGAGUCCCAAAUAUAUGAUAUAAAAUUGAUUUAAAUUCACAGUGUUCAAUAUUUUUAAAACAUAAAUAUGCCUUCCAUGAAUGUGUACAUGGGACUUUGCCAUACCUUUAGUUUACUUGGCAAUGAAGCAUGCAAAAAUUAAAAUAAAGAGUAAAAUAUAAAUAGCCUUUAUAAACACCAUCAAAGACUCUAAAGAAUUUGGAAAUACUUAUGAAACAAAUGCUUAGAUUUUUUUCUUGUCUUUUUGCCUUUUCUAGGGCCGCUCCCGUGGUAUAUGGAGGUUCCCAAGCUAGGGGUCCAAUCAGAGCUACAGCUGCCAGCCUACUCCAGCGCCAUAGCAAUGUGGGAUCUGAGCCACGUCUGCAACCUACACUACAGCUCACAGCAACGUCAGAUCCUUAACCCACUGAGCAAGGCCAGGGAUCAAACCCACAACCUCAUGGUUCCUAGUCAGAUUCGGUAACCACUGAGCCACAACAGGAACUCACAAAUGCUUAGAUUUAAAAAAAAAAAAAAAAAAAAUUGAAAAAAAAACCAGUAUGAAUAGUUUUCAAUUCCUCUGGAAUUAUGUCUUAGAUUUUAAAACAUUCUAGAUCAAAAGUACAAACUUUCAAGCAAAGGGUUUUUUUCUGUAAACCACCUAAGCUAAUCAUCUAUACCAAAGUAUAAGCUUUUUCAUUUGUCAGCAUUCUGAUUUGGUUAAUUUUAGCAUACAUUAAUCACAGUAAACUAUGGUAUAAAACAAGUCUGUUUGAAUUAUAUGUUUUGUUCAGAGGUUUUUGGUUCAUAUAAUUAUUUCUUUUGUGCCAACUCAAGAAAUAGAACUCUUAUUAGUACAUUUCAUUUGAAAUACCUAAUCACUCUUUCAAAGACAUUUUAUCACUUGAUCUCUAUGUAUCAGUAAAUUAAAGCUCACAUAUUUGUCUCACAACCUCAGCUCACAGAAUGUUAAGUCAAACUAAUAAGAAGCAUCGAUCAUACCCACUGAAUAAGACAGUCUGCAUUACAAACACUCUCCUGUAAUUCAUCCAUUAUAUGGAACAUCUGUUACAAAUUACCCAAGCUCCAGGACUGCUCUAUUUAAGUGCUUCUGCAAAAGCCCACUGUCUCCAUUUCUCCAAAUGAGUUAGAUGGUGGCAUAGGGAUUGUACUAAGUUCACUGUGACCAUAUGACGGCAGUCUUUUGCAAUCUGUGCUGAGCUCUAAUGGUACACUGCAUAGUGAUAAAUAUCUACUUAUAGUUGUAGAGCAAAAAUACUCAGAGUAUAAGCCAGCAGCCAUCAAGAAACCACUAAGACAAUCCUUUCUCCAUUAUGUUUCAGCCAUUGUCAGCAAGUUAAGCGCUUAGGAAGUAAUACUUAUUCUGAAGUCCUUAAGAGACUGUUGAUUUGCUCAGUUAGUUAAAUAUGGAAUUAAUGACCCUAUAUACAUGUUUGUCAAGUUUUGUUCACUUCCAUGACUGUGAAACAUGUCCCAAGUCCCAAACAGAUAUCUUGAAAGGAAAUCUAACUACAGUCAAUUAUCUGUAUCUGCAAGUUUGGCAUACACAGAUUCAACCAACAGUGGAUCAAAAAUAUUUGGAUAAAAAAUUUCCAGAAAAUUCCAAAAAGCAAAACUUGAAUUUGUCCUGCAGGUAAUUAUUUAUAUAGCAUUUAUGUUGUAUUUACAAGUAUUUGCAUAGAGUUUACAUUGUAUGACAUACUAAAAUUAAUUUAGAGAAGGAUUGUGUAGAUUAUAUGCAAAUACUCUGCCUUUUAUAUGUAAAGCACUUAAGUAACCCUGGAUUUUGGUAUCUGAGGGAGUCCCGAAACCAAUCCUUGGUGGAUACUGGAGAACAACUGUAAGUGUGAACAAAUGCAGGUUUAUAUUUCAGAAAAAAACACGUUAAAGAAAGUCUCCUACUUAUGGUCUUGUCCACAGUAUUGUCAAAGAUACACCUGACUUUAAAAGAAUGACUUUAUAAAUGUGUUGGCCCAAUGUUGUCUUUGGAAAUAAUAACUCCAAAUUUGCUUCAUAGUGUAUUUGGGAAAAUAAGUCACAGGGAUAUCUAUAAAUUAUUCAUAAAUAAAUAGUGAAACCGAACAAAUGUAAAAAUCUAUACACUUGUACAUUAUUUUUUGGUCUUAAUUUGCAUUGCAGUUAUAAUGAGUCAUAUACAACAAACCCAAUAUUGGAUUUAUAGAAAGCUUUGCAGAAGCAUGGUACCUUGCAUAUUUUAGCACCCCAUAUGCUAUUUUUCCUACAGGCGUUCUUCCACUCAUCUGUUCUUAGAAUUUAUGUAAUACUAGCUUACUAAAUUAAUUUCAGGAUAGCGUCUGGGUUGCUUGAAGUUUUAAAUAAACAAGUUGGUUAUUUUUAAUUAUUCUUGUCAGUUUGCAAAUUAGACCCUCAAAUAUCUAUUUUCCAUUUCAGAAAGAUCACCUUCGAUGGAUGGAGAGUAUUGCUUAUAUGUUGGAAUAUAUAUAUUGUUUACAAUUUCAACUCAUGUAAAACUACAUUAAAUAUUUUUGCCUGCCUAAUUACCUGGAAUUGUUGGCUAAUUUACCUUUCACCUGAAGUCUGUGAUAAUUAAACAAGAAAUGUUUGUAUUGUUCUAAAAAGGAAUACAAGAAUUCUUUAAAUAAACAUUUUGAAUGUAGUGAUGCUAGAGUCUCACAUUGGUAAUUUAAUGCUUUAGCCAAAAAUGGCACAAGUCAUUUUAGCUCCCAUCACAGGGAGUUGAAAUUCCAAUGACAACCACAUGUUCACAAAUUAUACUAACCAGAAUAAAUGUCAUGAAAUUUCAAUUUUAUAAGACUGAUAUGGGGAAGAGGUAGUAUAUUUUUAGUUUUUGCUUACAACGAAAGUAGAAAAAGUCAUCAUAUACUAAGAUUGCAAGAGACAUAUAUGCAAACAUCCUCAGAGGAUCCAAAGACUACUGUCAGUGAAACUAAACUGACAGUUUCUACUAAGCAAUACCACUACAAUAAAAGAAGUUGAAAGAGUGAUUUACUGAGUCAUCACUAUCUACAGUUGUUAUCAAAACUUCAUUGCAAAAAAAAAAAAAUACCCA